RNAcentral lists this ribosomal RNA (467 nucleotides) under uncultured bacterium. RNAcentral's name for it is "partial 16S ribosomal RNA". It matches the Rfam family "Bacterial small subunit ribosomal RNA", at positions 29 to 507 of the family's 1533-position model. The record is from RNAcentral.
ACGAACGCUGGCGGCGUGCUUAACACAUGCAAGUCGAACGGAAAGGCCCUGCUUUUGUGGGGUGCUCGAGUGGCGAACGGGAGAGUAACACGUGAGUAACCUGCCCUUGACUUUGGGAUAACUUCAGGAAACUGGGGCUAAUACCGGAUAGGAGCUCCUGCUGCAUGGUGGGGGUUGGAAAGUUUCGGCGGUUGGGGAUGGACUCGCGGCUUAUCAGCUUGUUGGUGGGGUAGUGGCUUACCAAGGCUUUGACGGGUAGCCGGCCUGAGAGGGUGACCGGCCACAUUGGGACUGAGAUACGGCCCAGACUCCUACGGGAGGCAGCAGUGGGGAAUAUUGCACAAUGGGCGGAAGCCUGAUGCAGCAACGCCGCGUGCGGGAUGACGGCCUUCGGGUUGUAAACCGCUUUCGCCUGUGACGAAGCGUGAGUGACGGUAAUGGGUAAAGAAGCACCGGCUAACUACGUG